This 461-nucleotide ribosomal RNA is filed under the name uncultured bacterium. RNAcentral describes it as "bacterial SSU rRNA". It matches the Rfam family "Bacterial small subunit ribosomal RNA", at positions 339 to 797 of the family's 1533-position model. The record is from RNAcentral.
AUACGGAAGGCAGCAGUGAGGAAUAUUGGUCAAUGGACGCAAGUCUGAACCAGCCAUGCCGCGUGCAGGAUGACGGUCCUAUGGAUUGUAAACUGCUUUUGUACAGGAAGAAACAACUCUACGUGUAGAGUCUUGACGGUACUGUAAGAAUAAGGAUCGGCUAACUCCGUGCCAGCAGCCGCGGUAAUACGGAGGAUCCAAGCGUUAUCCGGAAUCAUUGGGUUUAAAGGGUCCGUAGGCGGUUUAGUAAGUCAGUGGUGAAAGCCCAUCGCUCAACGGUGGAACGGCCAUUGAUACUGCUAGACUUGAAUUAUUAGGAAGUAACUAGAAUAUGUAGUGUAGCGGUGAAAUGCUUAGAGAUUACAUGGAAUACCAAUUGCGAAGGCAGGUUACUACUAAUUGAUUGACGCUGAUGGACGAAAGCGUGGGUAGCGAACAGGAUUAGAUACCCGUGUAGUCCU